Pimephales promelas (fathead minnow) is the source of this 378-nucleotide long non-coding RNA. RefSeq lists it as uncharacterized. The record is from RefSeq and is a predicted model, not a curated record. NCBI's taxonomy places the organism in Eukaryota, Metazoa, Chordata, Actinopteri, Cypriniformes, Leuciscidae.
UCCGGUUCCAUCGUCCCCAGUCAACGAGGCUUUGGUUAAAUGGCUGAAAUGUGGUCUGUGAUGAACACAAGCUCAAGACACUUUCACGUUUUAUUCUCCGACAUAAAAUACAUCAAUAUUACCCCACUCGUGUUUUUUUAAGCAGGCAUUUGCUAACAAGUGGCUAAAUGGGACUACAGAGAGGCCGUUGGGGAAUUAAAACGUCAUCACGCCAAAAAGUUACUUCCCUGGUUUACAUUGAAAUGACAGCAGUGUUUUGUAAGAAGAUGCUUUGAGUUCAUCAAUAAAUUAGCAGAAGGCAAACUCCUCAAUCAGCUGUGACUCAGCGAGUGCCAGUUUAAAGAGAUUGAGGCCGAAGUUGACGGUGCCUCUGCUCUU